This 473-nucleotide unclassified non-coding RNA is filed under the name Hevea brasiliensis (rubber tree). The record is from RNAcentral. Lineage: Eukaryota; Viridiplantae; Streptophyta; Magnoliopsida; Malpighiales; Euphorbiaceae.
GGGGCCGGCGGCGAAGAAAAACAAGUAUUAGCCAACAACAUAACACUAUGGGGGACCUCAAAACUUUUUGGGGCUCCCUUCUAGGUUCUGCACCUUGGUAAGUUUACAUUGCAUCUUAAGAUCUGCAACUUUAUUGGACUAAAAUCCCAAUAUAUCUGAUGGCUGUGUAUGUAAAAAAUAAAGGGCAAUUGCUUAUGAUAUGGUUGCUGGUGAUUAGUGCUGUUUGGAAAGUUACUGAUGUCGAACCAAUAGUUCAAAUAGAGAAGAGGAGAAAUGAAUUCUCAAAGCUUUGUUAAUUCUCAAUAUCAAUUGUAGUCAUAGAAAAAGGUCUACCAACCAGGUAUAUAUAGUAUAAUUGUUAACCCUACUACUUACUAGGAUUAGGAAUAAGAAAAUCCUAAACCAACACUAAUUAGAAAUCCCAAAUUAACACAAAUUUAAAAUGUUACUUCCUAUAUUUCUUCCUAAAAUAA